Molecule: unclassified non-coding RNA, 399 nt
Filed under: fungal sp.
Lineage: Eukaryota; Fungi
Description: partial internal transcribed spacer region
Rfam family: Eukaryotic small subunit ribosomal RNA (bases 1-46)
Source: RNAcentral
AAGUCGUAACAAGGUCUCCGUAGGUGAACCUGCGGAGGGAUCAUUAACACGUUUUCUUAACGUUUAACUAUUUCCACCAACCGCGUGAAUUUACUUGAAUCAACUAUUCGACCUGACAGGCUGAGACUCUGCUUGAAUUGCACGGAGUGAUGAGUGUUGUUAACGCAACACUGGUGCUUUCAAGCUGGUACCGCAGUGUGAGCAAUUGCAUUGACAGUACAAGACCUCUUCCUUUUAGGCUUUCAACCCAAUGUUCCCUUCAUCGCUGGAACGCAAAAACCAUUUUCACCACUUAUAAACAACUAGACUGAUAUGCUCGUUCGUGUGGAAACGCACUAUACGGCAACAAAUUAAUCAAAUAUCUAAGCACAUCUCUUAGCAACGGAUAUCUUGGUUCUC